Molecule: ribosomal RNA, 477 nt
Filed under: uncultured bacterium
Lineage: Bacteria
Description: partial 16S ribosomal RNA
Rfam family: Bacterial small subunit ribosomal RNA
Source: RNAcentral
GAUGAACGCUGGCGGCGUGCCUAAUACAUGCAAGUCGAGCGAACAGACGAGGAGCUUGCUCCUCUGACGUUAGCGGCGGACGGGUGAGUAACACGUGGAUAACCUACCUAUAAGACUGGGAUAACUUCGGGAAACCGGAGCUAAUACCGGAUAAUAUAUUGAACCGCAUGGUUCAAUAGUGAAAGACGGUUUUGCUGUCACUUAUAGAUGGAUCCGCGCCGCAUCAGCUAGUUGGUAAGGUAACGGCUUACCAAGGCAACGAUGCGUAGCCGACCUGAGAGGGUCACCGGCAACAAGGGGACUGAGAUACGGCGCAGACUCCGAUGGGGGGCAGCGGUGGGGAAUAUUGAAGAAUGGGCGGAAGUCUGAGGCAGAAUCGCCGCGAGCGGGAAGACGUCUUUCGAGGUGUAAACCGCUUUCGCAGGUGAUGAAGCGUGAGUGACGGUAAUGGGUAAGAAAGCACGGGCUAACUACGUG